UACAGAGGCCUCGAGCGUUAGGCGGAAUCACUGGGCUUAAAGCGUGUGUAGGCGGACUUCUAAGUACCUUGUGAAAUCCCACGGCUCACCCGUGGAACUGCUCGGUAUACUGGUCGUCUUGAGCCUUCUAGGGGCGAGUGGAACAAAUGGUGGAGCGGUGAAAUGCGUAGAUAUCAUUUGGAACGCCAAUGGUGAAAACAACUCGCUGGGGGUUUGCUGACGCUGAGACACGAAAGCCAGGGGAGCAAACGGG
This 253-nucleotide ribosomal RNA is filed under the name uncultured bacterium. RNAcentral's name for it is "partial 16S ribosomal RNA". It matches the Rfam family "Bacterial small subunit ribosomal RNA", at positions 524 to 776 of the family's 1533-position model. The record is from RNAcentral.